Molecule: transfer RNA, 74 nt
Filed under: Mus musculus (house mouse)
Lineage: Eukaryota; Metazoa; Chordata; Mammalia; Rodentia; Muridae
Description: tRNA-Val
Source: RNAcentral
CCCAGGAUGUAGUUCAGUGGUAGAGUACUUGCCUAACAUGUGCAAAGUCCUGGGUUCAAUUCCUCAACAUGGGG